GACGAACGCUGGCGGCGUGCUUAACACAUGCAAGUCGAACGGAAAGGCCCUGCUUUUGUGGGGUGCUCGAGUGGCGAACGGGUGAGUAACACGUGAGUAACCUGCCCUUGACUUUGGGAUAACUUCAGGAAACUGGGGCUAAUACCGGAUAGGAGCUCCUGCUGCAUGGUGGGGGUUGGAAAGUUUCGGCGGUUGGGGAUGGACUCGCGGCUUAUCAGCUUGUUGGUGGGGUAGUGGCUUACCAAGGCUUUGACGGGUAGCCGGCCUGAGAGGGUGACCGGCCACAUUGGGACUGAGAUACGGCCCAGACUCCUACGGGAGGCAGCAGUGGGGAAUAUUGCACAAUGGGCGGAGGCCUGAUGCAGCAACGCCGCGUGCGGGAUGACGGCCUUCGGGUUGUAAACCGCUUUCGCCUGUGACGAAGCGUGAGUGACGGUAAUGGGUAAAGAAGCACCGGCUAACUACGUGCCAACAGCCGCGGUGAUACGUAGGGUGCGAGCGUUGUCCGGAUUUAUUGGGCGUAAAGGGCUCGUAGGUGGUUGAUCGCGUCGGAAGUGUAAUCUUGGGGCUUAACCCUGAGCGUGCUUUCGAUACGGGUUGACUUGAGGAAGGUAGGGGAGAAUGGAAUUCCUGGUGGAGCGGUGGAAUGCGCAGAUAUCAGGAGGAACACCAGUGGCGAAGGCGGUUCUCUGGGCCUUUCCUGACGCUGAGGAGCGAAAGCGUGGGGAGCGAACAGGCUUAGAUACCCUGGUAGUCCACGCUGUAAACGGUGGGUACUAGGUGUGGGGUCCAUUCCACGGGUUCCGUGCCGUAGCUAACGCUUUAAGUACCCCGCCUGGGGAGUACGGCCGCAAGGCUAAAACUCAAAGGAAUUGACGGGGCCCCGCACAAGCGGCGGAGCAUGCGGAUUAAUUCGAUGCAACGCGUAGAACCUUACCUGGGUUUGACAUGGAUCGGGAGUGCUCAGAGAUGGGUGUGCCUCUUUUGGGGUCGGUUCACAGGUGGUGCAUGGCUGUCGUCAGCUCGUGUCGUGAGAUGUUGGGUUAAGUCCCGCAACGAGCGCAACCCUUGUUCACUGUUGCCAGCACGUUAUGGUGGGGACUCAGUGGAGACCGCCGGGGUCAACUCGGAGGAAGGUGGGGAUGACGUCAAGUCAUCAUGCCCCUUAUGUCCAGGGCUUCACGCAUGCUACAAUGGCUGGUACAGAGAGUGGCGAGCCUGUGAGGGUGAGCGAAUCUCGGAAAGCCGGUCUCAGUUCGGAUUGGGGUCUGCAACUCGACCUCAUGAAGUCGGAGUCGCUAGUAAUCGCAGAUCAGCAACGCUGCGGUGAAUACGUUCCCGGG
Molecule: ribosomal RNA, 1343 nt
Filed under: uncultured bacterium
Lineage: Bacteria
Description: 16S ribosomal RNA
Rfam family: Bacterial small subunit ribosomal RNA
Source: RNAcentral